This 70-nucleotide transfer RNA is filed under the name Erinaceus europaeus (western European hedgehog). It matches the Rfam family "tRNA". From Rfam's summary of the family: Transfer RNA (tRNA) molecules are approximately 80 nucleotides in length. Their secondary structure includes four short double-helical elements and three loops (D, anti-codon, and T loops). Further hydrogen bonds mediate the characteristic L-shaped molecular structure. tRNAs have two regions of fundamental functional importance: the anti-codon, which is responsible for specific mRNA codon recognition, and the 3' end, to which the tRNAs corresponding amino acid is attached (by aminoacyl-tRNA synthetases). tRNAs cope with the degeneracy of the genetic code in two manners: having more than one tRNA (with a specific anti-codon) for a particular amino acid; and 'wobble' base-pairing, i.e. permitting non-standard base-pairing at the 3rd anti-codon position. Lineage: Eukaryota; Metazoa; Chordata; Mammalia; Eulipotyphla; Erinaceidae. The record is from Rfam by way of RNAcentral.
GUCUCUGUGGCGCAAUCAGCGUGUUUGGCUAUUAACCAGGAGGUUGGUGGUUCGAGCCCACCCACGGACG